Molecule: ribosomal RNA, 450 nt
Filed under: uncultured bacterium
Lineage: Bacteria
Description: partial 16S ribosomal RNA
Rfam family: Bacterial small subunit ribosomal RNA
Source: RNAcentral
CCUACGGGGGGCUGCAGUGGGGAAUAUUGGACAAUGGGGGCAACCCUGAUCCAGCGACGCCGCGUGUGUGAAGAAGGCCUGCGGGUUGUAAAGCACUUUUAGUGGGGAGGAAGGUCUGCGACCUAACACGUCGUGGAAUUGACUUAACCCACAGAAACAGCACCGGCUAACUCUGUGCCAGCAGCCGCGGUAAUACAGAGGGUGCAAGCGGGGAGCGGAAUGUCGGUGCGUAAAGCGUGAGGUGGCGGGUGAAAGCCCCGGGCUCAACCUGGGAAGUGCAUUCGAGACUGCGAAGCUGGAGUGCGGAAGAGGGAAGUGGAAUUUCCGGUGUAGCGGUGAAAUGCGUAGAUAUCGGAAGGAACAUCAGUGGCGAAAGCGACUUCCUGGUCCAGCACUGACGCUCAGGCACGAAAGCGUGGGGAGCAAACAGGAUUAGAUACCCGUGUAGUC